Erinaceus europaeus (western European hedgehog) is the source of this 145-nucleotide non-coding RNA. Lineage: Eukaryota; Metazoa; Chordata; Mammalia; Eulipotyphla; Erinaceidae. The record is from Rfam.
UAGCUCCCCAGCCUUAUAGCCGAAUCCAGUCCUCCUCUACCUUUGUACUCCCUGUGGUCUUUCGGAAACAAAGAAGACAUAGUGAAAUCACAAGUGUCCUCUUGGAAAGGCGGUCCAGAUUGCUCUACUCCCAGGCUCUCCCCCA